UACGGGGGGAGCAAGCGUUGUUCGGAUUUACUGGGCGUAAAGGGCGCGUAGGCGGCGCGACAAGUCACUUAUGAAAUCUCCGGGCUUAACCCGGAGCGGCCAAGUGAUACUGUAGUGCUAGAGUGCGGAAGGGGCUACUGGAAUUCUCGGUGUAGCGGUGAAAUGCGUAGAUAUCGAGAGGAACACCUGCGGCGAAGGCGGGUAGCUGGGCCGACACUGACGCUGAGGCGCGAAAGCCAGGGGAGCGAACGGG
Molecule: ribosomal RNA, 253 nt
Filed under: uncultured bacterium
Lineage: Bacteria
Description: partial 16S ribosomal RNA
Rfam family: Bacterial small subunit ribosomal RNA
Source: RNAcentral